This 19-nucleotide unclassified non-coding RNA is filed under the name Mus musculus (house mouse). RNAcentral describes it as "oocyte_clustered_small_RNA10918". Lineage: Eukaryota; Metazoa; Chordata; Mammalia; Rodentia; Muridae. The record is from RNAcentral.
UGAAAUGUGUACUGGCUGG